Paramisgurnus dabryanus is the source of this 726-nucleotide long non-coding RNA. RefSeq lists it as uncharacterized. The record is from RefSeq and is a predicted model, not a curated record. Lineage: Eukaryota; Metazoa; Chordata; Actinopteri; Cypriniformes; Cobitidae.
CUGCGCAGCGCCUCAUUGAGAUGGCACACUUAUUUUGAUAACACAUUUUUUCCGUCUGCAAUUGCUUAUUACGCGAUCACAUGGGACACGAGAGAAAAGCAGCCGCCAAAUUCAAAAAGGUAAUGUCUGCAUUGUCCGCCAGAUGUCACCAGCGCAAUGUUAUUCAAUGUGAUCCAUGUCUUAACUGCUCACGUGUGCUGAUUUGAGUGAAGGGGAUACUAAGAGACAAGCCUCCAGCCCUGGAACCAAUUAGAGCCAGAGGACUCCUUUCAACCGUCCACCAGAGACACCUUCAGUGUGGAGAGAGGGAGAGAUGCAGGUGCUUCUGGCGUUUCUCUGGAGAUGUAAUCAACAGCAUUUCUGUUUUAAGGUUGUCUCCUGUGGGACUGGGCAACAGAAGAUCUUCAUUCCUUCUUUGCCGAAGUUUACAAUGAAAAUCAGCAGAUCUGCACACAAAGAAACUUGAAGUCCACCCAAAAACAGUUCACCCUGUUGACCAUAAUUGGAUCUGUAAGGUCUCCUUCCCCUUUUUUACUGCAUGGUUCCCCUGCAAAGUCAUCUAAGCAGGGGUGCAUGGAAAAUGCCUGGUGACACAUCAACCAAGGACGAAUUUCAAAAAUAGGUACGUCUCCCCCAGGCUGCAGAGCUUUUGGACGCAGUCCAGACCUGCAUGACAAUCGAAAGCGACAGUCAGCUCUCCAACACAGGUGACAACACAGGAGAAAG